GCCACCCUGUCCCCAGCACAGCAUGGCUCACAGGACUGUUUGAAGGAGCUCUGAUGUCUUCUGGCAGGGUCAUCUUGAUGGGUCCCCUGUUUCCUGGAGGUUCCCCCAGGGCAGGGUGUCCCCUCCUGCACUACCCCUCCCUGUACCAGCAGCCUGGAUAGCAUGGGGUGCCUGGCUGAGACUCUGCCCAGCUCUUCCUCUUCUGUUUAUGCCCCACCCUUAGCAGUGGCCUUGUUGCAUGGUGGCCCAGGCUUUGCCUGCGAGAAGAACCCCAACAUCACUGAGAACCUCAUGCAAUGUCUUUUGGACUGGUUAAGUGGUUCAUCUUGGUGCACGGGGUUGGGGGAAAUUUUGACCUUCUAGAAACCACGGCCCCUCCCUCCACCUCCUGUGUGUCCUUCCAGAUCUUCAAUAAUGAGCUCAUCUUUCCUAGCCGUCUGCUCCAGGUGGUCGUCUCCAGCUGUACCGCUGCAGGUCAAAGCUGGUUUCUCCCUCCAUUCUGAUCUUUAAUAUAAGCAAUAUCCUCCCAGCCGGGGCUCCUACGACAGCAGUUUGCUUCAAGAGCACAAAUUAAAGUGAUGCCACCAAGGGCAUGAAUGGUCUUAGCAGAGUCAACAUGGGGAGCAUUGCGCAUUCCCUGUGUAAUAUUAAGAAUGACUAAGUGGAGGCACUGCCCUUCCAGCCAAGCCUGG
Molecule: long non-coding RNA, 692 nt
Filed under: Homo sapiens (human)
Lineage: Eukaryota; Metazoa; Chordata; Mammalia; Primates; Hominidae
Description: HSALNT0231333
Source: RNAcentral